ACUCUCCUGGAAUCUCUGAUAAGUACUAUGGCUUUUGGACUGCCCAAACAGUUCAGCCUGCAGGUCAAAAGGAGUGAUUACUAUGGCAAAUGAGAUGAGUUGGACAAAGAAGAUAAUGGCAGUAAGAUGGUGAAGAUUCGGUGGAACCAUCAGUGUCAGAUUUAUUAUUGAAUUCAGUCAUGUGUGGACUUUCCUUAGCAACAAGGAAUAGAUAGUGAGAAAGUCUUAAGAAGACAGGAUGUUCUGCAAAUUACUUCAUUAUUUUUUUAAUCAUAUUGCCAGAUGUGAAGAAAAUAAUGCUACUGUAACCAUUUUGAGUCAACUGAUCAGUUGAUUGAAACUUUCUCUGAUGUUUUAAAUCAGUGAUUCCAGCGCUGGCUACUUAUUAGAAUCACCUAAGGAGUUUUUCAAAUUUACCAAUGGAUCUCAGAACAAUUAAAGCAGAAUUUAGUUGAGAUGGGCUCUGGCAGCAGUAUUUUCUUUCUCUAAGCUCCCCAGAGUAUUCUGAUGUGUAGCCAGGAUUAAGCACCACUGUUUUAAAUGAAAUUAAUUGGAAAAAAUCUGCCUGACAGCAGCUUAGUAGAACACACCUGUCAGUUAUCAACUAAUACCCAGGAACGGGGUUUAUGACCUGUAUGUAAAUCCAGGUUUAACAAGCAGACCUCUUAAGAGAGAGAGAGAAGCUGAAGAUGCUCCUGGAAUCUAUCUGACGCAGAUGCACAUGGCUCUGUUCUUCUCACUCUGAAAGCAUGCUUGACUUUGGGGUAGCUGGAGCCUGGGCCUGGUAGCAGGGCCUGGCCAAGCAGAUCUGUCUCAGAGGAGGAGAGCAAGCUUCGGGGAACUCUGCCUGCAGAGAUGGACAAGCUCUGGAUCUGAAGGCAUUCCCUAAAGCAACACCAGCCCCUUGUUUUCUGCCGACCUGGCCUAUUUGGAGCAAAUUACUUACUGUUCUGUCUGUCCAGCUUGGAACUGAGAAGUCCAAAGGGAUGGAGAGAGACAGACAGGAAGGAUCCGUGUCAGGAGGCAGGCAAUUUAGAUGAACUCUUUUGCCUUGUUCUCUCUACCCUCACCCCCAUCCUAGCCCCAACAGAUAGCUAGCAGAGCCCUAGGUCCCUGCCCACUACCCCUAUUAAUGGAAGCCUAAUGUACUUGGGCAAAUCUCCCAGCUCUCCAAGUCAAUUUCCCUUAUGUAGACUAGAGAUAAAAUAUAAAACUGUCAUAAGACAAAUUGAGAGGAACAUAUAUAUACCUAUGGC
Long non-coding RNA from Bos taurus (domestic cattle), 1256 nucleotides. The record is from Ensembl. NCBI's taxonomy places the organism in Eukaryota, Metazoa, Chordata, Mammalia, Artiodactyla, Bovidae.